Molecule: unclassified non-coding RNA, 2189 nt
Filed under: Hevea brasiliensis (rubber tree)
Lineage: Eukaryota; Viridiplantae; Streptophyta; Magnoliopsida; Malpighiales; Euphorbiaceae
Source: RNAcentral
CAUGCAUUGAACUAACCCAUUUACUAUAAAAAAUUGGGUAUAUGAUACCUACAUAUAAUAGUUUCAAAUUUUCCUUUUUCACUACUUCCUUCAUAUUAAGUUUUAAUCUCCUUUGAUGUUCAAUGGUAGGUUUACUAUUUUCUUCUAUAAGUAUUCUACGCAUACAAAUGGAAGGGCUAAUCCCUUUAAGGUCUUUUAUUGUGUAUCCAAUAGUUUUACUAUGGGUCCUAAGUUCCCUUAAAAGUUUUUCCUCUUCUAAACUAGUUAGGCUAGUACUUAUUAUGACAGGAUAAUUAGAGUUUGAGUCUAGAAAUACAUACCUGAGAGUAGAAGGAGGAGGUUUCAGUUCUACCUAUUUUUUAGCCUCUUAUGGUUCAGCCUUGGGUUGUGACUCCUUUAGCUCUUCCACUUGUAGUGCUUGAACUAAGGGUAGAGGUGGGCUAGCUUCAAAAGAUUGUGCAUAGGCUGUAAUCUCUUUGUUAUCAUCAUCCACGGUGUUGUUGUGCACUAUGUAUGCUUCAAGAGGAUCUUUAGGAUAUCUCUUAUGGAAUUCCUCUUUUACUAGCUUGUCUAUAAUAUCAACCCUUAAGCACUCAUCGAUGUCUAGCUUAUGUUUCAUUGCUCUAAACAGGUUGAAUUCUACUUUCUCAUCUCCUACUUUGAGAGUUAACCGCCCACUUUUAACAUCUAUAAUAGCUUUGGUGGUUGCCAAGAAAGGUCUUUCUAAUAUAAUGGAAAUUUGAACAUCUUCUUCCAUCUCCAGGACAACAAAAUCAGCAGGGAUAAAAAAUUUGCCUUCCUUGAUGGGAAUGUUCUCUAAGAUGUGAAUUGGGUGCUUGACAGACUUGUUUGCUAGUUGCAAUGAGAUUGUAGUUGGUUUGAGCUCUCCCACAUUUAGCUUUUGGCAUAUUGAUAGGAGCAUCAGACUGACACUUGCACCUAGAUCACAAAGGGCCUUGUCUAUAUUCAUGUUGCUAAUAAGACAAGGUAUUGAGAAGCUUCCAAGGUCCUUAAGUUUUGGAGGGAGCUUGUUUUGCAAAAUGGCAUUGUAUUCCUUUGUCAGAGCAACUGCUUCAUAAUUCUCCAGCUUUCUCUUAUUUGAGAGGAUUUCCUUUAAGAACUUCUCAUAGGAUAACAUCUGAGAUAGUGCUUCAGUAAAAGGAAUGUUGAUGUAAAGUUUCUGUAAAACUUCUAAAAACUUUCAAAACUGCUUGUUCAAUUUUGCCUUCUGAAAUCUUUGAGGGAAAUGUAAAGGGGGAUGGUAUGGCUCGGGUAGCUUCUUUUUCUUAUUCUCCUCCUCUUCCUUGCCCUUUUCAGCUUCCUUCUCUUUGCCCUUUGUUUGGUUAUCAGAAUCACUAGAAGUUUCCUCCACUAAUUUUUUCUUUUCUUUUAGUUGUCAUUCUUCUAAAACUCCUCAAAGCAACUGCCUUGUAAUGCUCUUUAGAGUUCAUCUCUAGUUAACUUCGCAGCUUAUUAAUAGCUUUGCUUGAAGAACUAGCUUACUGAGUAAUUUGAUUCUCAAGCAUUUUGUUGUGAGUAGCCAGUUGGUCCAUUCCAAAAUCUAGUUGCUUUAUUAUUUCAUUCUGCUGUUGUUGUGCUACUAAAAAGCUUUCCAACAUGGAUUCCAUGGUCAACUUGGAUUCAGGUUAUUGAGGUUGAGGAGGUGGUGGUGGUUGUGCUAAGUUAUGUCCUCUAUUUUGAAAAGCAAGUGGUGGUGGCGAUGGCCGUGGUCUAUAUCCCUCCUGCUUGUUAAUGGCCUAAUUCUAUUGGUUUUGCGAGUUUGACCAUGGGAAGUUAGGUUGGUUCUCCAUCUAGGGUUAUAAGUAUUUGAGUAUGGGUUGUUAAUCUGCCUUUGGUUGAAGUUUUCUCUAUUAUUCAUAUAGUUCAUCUAUUCUAUGGAGGGCUUACUGUAGUUGCUCAAUUCUAAAGUCAUGUGGCCUCCUCUAUAAUUAUUGCAAUUUUAAUUGCUUGACCAUAUUACAUUGGUCUGCAUCUUGUUAAGUCUCCUUGUAAGUUGGUCAAAUUGAGCAUUGAUCAUACUUAAGGCACCCAAUUCUAGGAUCCUAACUGUUCUCCUCAUGUCUCCUCUCUCAUUUGACCAUUCAAAAUUAUGAUAUGCAAUCCUCUCCAGAAGUUCAAGAGCUUCAUUAAUUGUUUUCUCCUUGAGGUCUCCUCCUGCUGCUGAAUCA